Molecule: ribosomal RNA, 468 nt
Filed under: uncultured bacterium
Lineage: Bacteria
Description: partial 16S ribosomal RNA
Rfam family: Bacterial small subunit ribosomal RNA
Source: RNAcentral
GACGAACGCUGGCGGCGUGCUUAACACAUGCAAGUCGAACGGAAAGGCCCUGCUUUUGUGGGGUGCUCGAAUGGCGAACGGGUGAGUAACACGUGAGUAACCUGCCCUUGACUUUGGGAUAACUUCAGGAAACUGGGGCUAAUACCGGAUAGGAGCUCCUGCUGCAUGGGGGGGGUUGGAAAGUUUCGGCGGUUAGGGAUGGACUCGCGGCUUAUCAGCUUGUUGGUGGGGUAGUGGCUUACCAAGGCUUUGACGGGUAGCCGGCCUGAGAGGGUGACCGGCCACAUGGGGACUGAGAUACUGCCCAGACUGCUACGGGAGGCAGCAGUGGGGAAUAUUGCACAAUGGGCGGAAGCCUGAUGCAGCAACGCCGCGUGCGGGAUGACGGCCUUCGGGUUGUAAACCGCUUUCGCCUGUGACGAAGCGUGAGUGACGGUAAUGGGUAAAGAAGCACCGGCUAACUACGUG